UGGAGAAAGAGUAGGUCUACAACAGUUAGACUUGUUACCUGCUGGAGUCUCUCUUCCUCUGCGAGAUGCAUUGGAUAAAUGCCGUGAUUCUCCUCCAAUAGAUUGGCCUGCUGCUGCAUAUGUUCUUCUUGGUCGGGAGGAUUUGGCUUUCUCACGCUUAGCAUAUUCAAGAAAAUCUGUGGAGCUUGAGCCCCAUAUGAAUGUAAAUAUGACAUGUAUGUCCGCUCCUUACAUGUUGAACCUCCAUCCGGUGACAAUUCCUUCCUCAAUAUCUGACACAGUACAGUCAGAGGAUAACAAGCUAGAGGAUGUAGAUUCUGUUGAGGGAUAUGUGGCUGAUGGUAUG
RNAcentral lists this unclassified non-coding RNA (346 nucleotides) under Hevea brasiliensis (rubber tree). The record is from RNAcentral. Lineage: Eukaryota; Viridiplantae; Streptophyta; Magnoliopsida; Malpighiales; Euphorbiaceae.